This 484-nucleotide ribosomal RNA is filed under the name uncultured bacterium. RNAcentral describes it as "partial 16S ribosomal RNA". It matches the Rfam family "Bacterial small subunit ribosomal RNA", at positions 30 to 507 of the family's 1533-position model. The record is from RNAcentral.
AUUGAACGCUGGCGGCAGGCCUAACACAUGCAAGUCGAGCGGAUGAAGGGAGCUUGCUCCUGGAUUCAGCGGCGGACGGGUGAGUAAUGCCUAGGAAUCUGCCUGGUAGUGGGGGAUAACGUCCGGAAACGGGCGCUAAUACCGCAUACGUCCUGAGGGAGAAACAGGGGGAUCUUCGGACCUCACGCUCUCAGAUGAGCCUAGGUCGGAUUAGCUAGUUGGUGGGGUAAAGGCCUACCAAGGCGACGAUCCGUAACUGGUCUGAGAGGAUGAUCAGUCACACUGGAACUGAGACACGGUCCAGACUCCUACGGGAGGCAGCAGUGGGGAAUAUUGGACAGUAGGCGAAAGCCUGGUCCAGCCAUGCCGCGUGUGUGGAGAAGGUCUUCGGAUUGUAAAGCACUUUAAGUUGGGAGAAAGGGCAGUAAGUUAAUACCUUGCUGUUUUGACGUUACCAACAGAAUAAGCACCGGCUAACUUCGUG